This 1436-nucleotide ribosomal RNA is filed under the name Bacteroides fragilis. RNAcentral's name for it is "bacterial SSU rRNA". It matches the Rfam family "Bacterial small subunit ribosomal RNA". The record is from RNAcentral. Lineage: Bacteria; Pseudomonadati; Bacteroidota; Bacteroidia; Bacteroidales; Bacteroidaceae.
AUGAACGCUAGCUACAGGCUUAACACAUGCAAGUCGAGGGGCAUCAGGAAGAAAGCUUGCUUUCUUUGCUGGCGACCGGCGCACGGGUGAGUAACACGUAUCCAACCUGCCCUUUACUCGGGGAUAGCCUUUCGAAAGAAAGAUUAAUACCCGAUGGGAUAAUNAUUCCGCAUGGUUUCAUUAUUAAAGGAUUCCGGUAAAGGAUGGGGAUGCGUUCCAUUAGGUUGUUGGUGAGGUAACGGCUCACCAAGCCUUCGAUGGAUAGGGGUUCUGAGAGGAAGGUCCCCCACAUUGGAACUGAGACACGGUCCAAACUCCUACGGGAGGCAGCAGUGAGGAAUAUUGGUCAAUGGGCGCGAGCCUGAACCAGCCAAGUAGCGUGAAGGAUGACUGCCCUAUGGGUUGUAAACUUCUUUUAUAUUAGAAUAAAGUGCAGUAUGUAUACUGUUUUGUAUGUAUAAUAUGAAUAAGGAUCGGCUAACUCCGUGCCAGCAGCCGCGGUAAUACGGAGGAUCCGAGCGUUAUCCGGAUUUAUUGGGUUUAAAGGGAGCGUAGGUGGACUGGUAAGUCAGUUGUGAAAGUUUGCGGCUCAACCGUAAAAUUGCAGUUGAUACUGUCAGUCUUGAGUACAGUAGAGGUGGGCGGAAUUCGUGGUGUAGCGGUGAAAUGCUUAGAUAUCACGAAGAACUCCGAUUGCGAAGGCAGCUCACUGGACUGCAACUGACACUGAUGCUCGAAAGUGUGGGUAUCAAACAGGAUUAGAUACCCUGGUAGUCCACACAGUAAACGAUGAAUACUCGCUGUUUGCGAUAUACAGUAAGCGGCCAAGCGAAAGCAUUAAGUAUUCCACCUGGGGAGUACGCCGGCAACGGUGAAACUCAAAGGAAUUGACGGGGGCCCGCACAAGCGGAGGAACAUGUGGUUUAAUUCGAUGAUACGCGAGGAACCUUACCCGGGCUUAAAUUGCAGUGGAAUGAUGUGGAAACAUGUCAGUGAGCAAUCACCGCUGUGAAGGUGCUGCAUGGUUGUCGUCAGCUCGUGCCGUGAGGUGUCGGCUUAAGUGCCAUAACGAGCGCAACCCUUAUCUUCAGUUACUAACAGGUCAUGCUGAGGACUCUGGAGAGACUGCCGUCGUAAGAUGUGAGGAAGGUGGGGAUGACGUCAAAUCAGCACGGCCCUUACGUCCGGGGCUACACACGUGUUACAAUGGGGGGUACAGAAGGCAGCUACCUGGUGACAGGAUGCUAAUCCCAAAAGCCUCUCUCAGUUCGGAUCGAAGUCUGCAACCCGACUUCGUGAAGCUGGAUUCGCUAGUAAUCGCGCAUCAGCCACGGCGCGGUGAAUACGUUCCCGGGCCUUGUACACACCGCCCGUCAAGCCAUGGGAGCCGGGGGUACCUGAAGUACGUAACCGCAAGGAGCGUCCUAGGGUAAAAC